Molecule: transfer RNA, 95 nt
Filed under: Penicillium decumbens
Lineage: Eukaryota; Fungi; Ascomycota; Eurotiomycetes; Eurotiales; Aspergillaceae
Rfam family: tRNA
About the family: Transfer RNA (tRNA) molecules are approximately 80 nucleotides in length. Their secondary structure includes four short double-helical elements and three loops (D, anti-codon, and T loops).
Source: Rfam by way of RNAcentral
GACAGUAUGGCCGAGUGGUGAAGGCGGCAGAUUUAAGGUUUAGACCAUAUCUCUGCUCACUCUUGUGAUCGUGGGUUCAAACCCCACUGCUGUCA